RNAcentral lists this ribosomal RNA (930 nucleotides) under uncultured archaeon. Its description in RNAcentral is "bacterial SSU rRNA". It matches the Rfam family "Archaeal small subunit ribosomal RNA", at positions 1 to 922 of the family's 1478-position model. The record is from RNAcentral.
UUCCGGUUGAUCCUGCCGGAAGCCACUGCUGUUGGGGUUCGGCUAAGCCAUGCGAGUGGAGGGCGCGGUCGAAAGAUCGUGGCCCCGCACACGGCUCAGUAACACGUAGUCAACCUAACCUAGGGGCGGGUAUAACCUCGGGAAACUGAGGCUAAUCCCCGAUAGACGGGAAACGCUGGAAUGCCUUCCCGUCCAAAGCUCAGGCGCCCUAGGAUGGGACUGCGGCCCAUCAGGCUGUUGGUGGUGUGACGGACCACCAAACCUACAACGGGUAUGGGCGAUGGGAGUCGGAGCCCAGAGAUGGGGACUGAGACAAGGCCCCAGGUCCUACGGGGCGCAGCAGGCGCGAAAACUCCGCAAUGCGCGAAAGCGUGACGGGGGAACCCCAAGUGCUGUUGAUCUUUUGGUCGAUGGCUUUUCGGAAGUCUAAAAAGCUUCCGGAAUAAGGGCUGGGUAAGUCUGGUGCCAGCCGCCGCGGUAAUACCAGCAGCCCAAGUGGUGGUCGCGAUUAUUGGGCCUAAAGCGCUCGUAGCCGGGCCGGUAAGUCCCUUGUGAAAUCGGACGGCCUAACCGUUCGGCGUGCAAGGGAUACUGUCGGUCUUGAGGCCGGGAGACGUCCGAGGUACUCCGGGGGUAGCGGUGAAAUGUUCUGAUCCUCGGGGGACCACCGGUGGCGAAGGCGUUCGACGAGAACGGGCCUGACGGUGAGGGGCGAAGGCUAGGGGAGCAAACGGGAUUAGAUACCCCGGUAGUCCUAGCUGUAAAGCAUGCGGGCCAGGUGUAUGGCGCUCCUAGAGGGCGCCGUGUGCCGGAGGGAAGCCGUUAAGCCCGCCGCCUGGGAAGUACGGCCGCAAGGCUGAAACUUAAAGAAAUUGGCGGGGGAGCACCACAAGGGGUGGAACCCGCGGUUCAAUUGGAGUCAACGCCGGG